RNAcentral lists this ribosomal RNA (445 nucleotides) under uncultured bacterium. Its description in RNAcentral is "partial 16S ribosomal RNA". It matches the Rfam family "Bacterial small subunit ribosomal RNA", at positions 354 to 796 of the family's 1533-position model. The record is from RNAcentral.
GUGAGGAAUAUUGGACAAUGGGCGCAAGCCUGAUCCAGCCAUGCCGCGUGCAGGAAGACGCAUCUAUGGUGUGUAAACUGCUUUUGUACGGGAAGAAACACUCCCUCGUGAGGGAGCUUGACGGUACCGUAAGAAUAAGGAUCGGCUAACUCCGUGCCAGCAGCCGCGGUAAUACGGAGGAUCCAAGCGUUAUCCGGCAUCAUUGGGUUUAAAGGGUCCGUAGGCGGUUUAAUAAGUCAGUGGUGAAAGCCCAUCGCUCAACGAUGGAACGGCCAUUGAUACUGUUAGACUUGAAUUACAAGGAAGUAACUAGAAUAUGUAGUGUAGCGGUGAAAUGCUUAGAUAUUACAUGGAAUACCAAUUGCGAAGGCAGGUUACUACUUGUGGAUUGACGCUGAUGGACGAAAGCGUGGGGAGCGAACAGGAUUAGAAACCCCUGUAGUCC